Molecule: long non-coding RNA, 410 nt
Organism: Lingula anatina
Lineage: Eukaryota; Metazoa; Brachiopoda; Lingulata; Lingulida; Lingulidae
Source: RefSeq, a predicted model, not a curated record
UCUUGUCACCACAGUCAGUUGUGGCAGAAAGGCGACACAACAAUUCGAUUGGUCUUCUCUUGUGAGAGAUCUUAUUUACAAGACUUAAAAGCAGGGGAGUGGUGGAAAGAUACAACCUGGGCUUAUAAAGUAAAGCCUUUUUACAAGCUAGGACAACAAGACAAUGAAAGGGCUGUCGAAUAUUUUAAAAUCUUCUCUGAUAUUUUGUUUAAUUCGCGGAUGGCAAGGAAUCGACGCAGAAUGUGACGUGCCAGAGGUUCCUCAUUCAAGUCGAACUCCAACUACUGCCCGGGUCAACAGUCAAGCGACCGUUACCUUCACGUGUGCAACCCUUUCAUAUAUCCAUGUAUAUGGUUCUCUUACAAUCACGUGUACUGACAGAGAUGUGUUUGACAAGGAACCACCAAUAU